This 337-nucleotide unclassified non-coding RNA is filed under the name soil metagenome. RNAcentral's name for it is "partial contains 5.8S ribosomal RNA, internal transcribed spacer 2, and large subunit ribosomal RNA". The stretch from base 1 to 120 matches the Rfam family "5.8S ribosomal RNA", at positions 35 to 154 of the family's 154-position model. The record is from RNAcentral.
GAUGAAGAACGCAGCGAAAUGCGAUAAGUAAUGCGAAUUGCAGAUUUCAGUGAGUCAUCGAAUCUUUGAACGCACAUUGCGCCCGCCAGUAUUCUGGCGGGCAUGCCUGUUCGAGCGUCAUUUCAACCAUCAAGCCCCCGGGCUUGCGUUGGGGCCCUGCGGCUGCCCGCAGGCCCUGAAAACCAGUGGCGGGCUCGCUAGUCACACCGAGCGCAGUAAUACAUCUCGCUUUGGGCGUGCGGCGGGUUCUUGCCGUUAAACACCCCCUUUUUACCAAGGUUGACCUCGGAUCAGGUAGGAAUACCCGCUGAACUUAAGCAUAUCAAUAAGCGGACGA